AAGACAUCGCGUCUUAUGCCUACGUAUCUCAUUUGGAAUGAGAAUCAGAGCAAGCCGUAGUUCGGCUAACUACGGGUUACGGGUUGUGUUUUAGGAUGAAUGACGUCACUAUGCUAUAUACGGGAUGCUCGACCUUUGGAGACUUACUCGCCUGUAGUAGAAGGAGUCAACGUGUUCUUAGGAGAAGAAAAAUCAAUGAGUUGGUUUGUGUUUUAG
Molecule: long non-coding RNA, 216 nt
Filed under: Lathyrus oleraceus (garden pea)
Lineage: Eukaryota; Viridiplantae; Streptophyta; Magnoliopsida; Fabales; Fabaceae
Description: Pisum sativum (pea) long non-coding RNA (PSAT_LNC038285)
Source: RNAcentral